Molecule: ribosomal RNA, 141 nt
Filed under: Tectocoris diophthalmus (cotton harlequin bug)
Lineage: Eukaryota; Metazoa; Arthropoda; Insecta; Hemiptera; Scutelleridae
Description: partial large subunit ribosomal RNA
Source: RNAcentral
UAAUUAAUCGGUUAAUUAAAUCAUUAUCUACUUUUAAAUAUUAGAAAUAACUUAAUUAUUAGUAUAUUUUAUAGAAUUUAAUUUUUAUAUUUAUAGUUUAAAUUACUGUGAAGGUAAUUGUUUAAUUAUUUAUAAGUAGCU